Bacillus rossius redtenbacheri is the source of this 338-nucleotide long non-coding RNA. RefSeq lists it as uncharacterized. The transcript has 2 exons. Lineage: Eukaryota; Metazoa; Arthropoda; Insecta; Phasmatodea; Bacillidae. The record is from RefSeq and is a predicted model, not a curated record.
CAUUGCAUUAUUGAUCAAAAAAUUGUAGACUAAUGUUAUUUUAUAUUUUUUAAGAGUAAAAAACAUCUGCACUAAUAUUGCCUUGUUACUAAUUAUGAGAUUUUCAGGCUUGUGGAGAACAGCUUUUUUUUUAUCUACUCUUUGGCUGGCCAAUGUAAAUAAGCAAUGAUUUCAUGAAUGCAGCAAGAGAGUUUAUUUGAUGUAUUUUUAAAUCACUGAUAAUAUUUAUUGAUGUAUUUUAAAAUCACUGAUAAUAUUUGUUUUGUGGCUGGAAGAUGGUAACCAUGGUGACUUGUGAAUUUUUAUGAAGGAUUAAUAAAAAGCAGUAAAAAUUAUUA